GACGAACGCUGGCGGCGUGGAUUAGGCAUGCAAGUCGAACGGUAUCAUCCUUUCGGGGGUGAGAGAGUGGCGAACUGGUGAGUAACACGUAGGUUAUCUACCCUCAAGACGGGGACAACCCAGGGAAACUUGGGCUAAUACCGGAUGUGAGCAACUUUUAGUUGUUUGAAAGGUGGCGUAAGCUGUCGCUUGGGGAUGAGCCUGCGUCCUAUUAGUUAGUUGGUGAGGUAACGGCUCACCUAGGCAAUGAUAGGUAGGCGGCCUUAACGGGUGGUCGCCCACACUGGGAUUGAGAUACGGCCCAGACUCCUACGGGAGGCAGCAGUCGAGAAUAGUCUACAAUGGUCGGAAGACUGAUAGUGCGACGCCGCGUGAACGAUGAAUCCCUUCGGGGUGUAAAGUUCUUUUAUAUGUGAGCAGUGCUUCUUAUAUUAACAGUAUGGGGAGAGAGAUAUUAGCAUAUGAAUAAGCAACGGCUAACUCCGUGCCAGCAGCCGCGGUAAAAU
RNAcentral lists this ribosomal RNA (506 nucleotides) under uncultured bacterium. Its description in RNAcentral is "bacterial SSU rRNA". It matches the Rfam family "Bacterial small subunit ribosomal RNA", at positions 28 to 526 of the family's 1533-position model. The record is from RNAcentral.